This is an RNA transcript of Acanthopagrus latus (yellowfin seabream), 9663 nucleotides long. It is a transcript of the gene named unc-5 netrin receptor A, with no coding region annotated. Lineage: Eukaryota; Metazoa; Chordata; Actinopteri; Spariformes; Sparidae. The record is from RefSeq and is a predicted model, not a curated record. The transcript is spliced from 17 exons.
AAGGGGGGGGGGGAGAGAGUUAUAACAGCAGGGCGCGCGCCGUGGAACGCUCCGUGUCCCAGUGAGCACGCGGGAUCCGCUCCUGGUUUUGCUGCUCGGGCUCAUCGCAGCUCCUUCUCUCUACCUUCCCCGACUCUCAACACUCCAGCAUUGCUGUGCAAGCAGAUGUUCCUGCUCUGGUUGCCAAUUCUUACAAUUUUUUCGCAUUCGGGAGAAGGUGUUCUUUCGCGGGAAGGCUACAAAGUGACAGGAAACAACAGAAGAAGAAAAAAAACUGCCUCCCUCCUCUGCCUGGUGAGAGAGAGAGGGGGAGAGUUGUGAGCGGAUAGCGGCUUUUUUGUGUGUGUGUAUAUAUAUAUUUAUAUGAGUGUGUGUGCGUGUGUGUGUGUACGCGCGUUUGUGUGGACAAAUACAGCAUCAGUCAACCCCGCGGCUGGCUGGCUGGCUCGCGAGCGAAGGGAGCAGUUUAUUUACCGCCACCACACCUGUGAUGCGUUGUUCUGAGCAACGAGGACGCACGACCGGGAUACUGAUGGCCACGGUACGGCGGGAGGAUAUGUGUUGAGGAGAGAAAACAACCACACACAGACAAAAAAGGACUUGGGCGUUGUGUGAAAAAGGCGUUUAGUGCUACAGAGGACACUCUCCGGACCUUUAAAGAAAGCACCAGUGUGCCGGCGUCCCCUUCUCCGCUCCCGUGUCUUAUUUAUUUAUUUAUUUAUUUUUUGUUCCACCCUCCGAAACUUAAAGCUGAUAAAGACCCACGAAGAUGCCCUCACUUCUGGGCCCCUUUGUCCGCUGUGGGUUCGGCGCUACGCUCCUCGUGCUCUGCCUCGUCCUCGCUGGCUUUACCUGCACUGGCUCCGAGCACGCCGCCACAGCGACACUUCCUGCCGCCUUCUCGGACCUGUUACCUCACUUCCUGGUGGAGCCGGAGGACGAGUUCAUCGUGAAGAACAAGCCAGUGAUGCUGACCUGCCGCUCCACUCCAGCCACGCAGAUCUACUUCAAGUGCAACGGCGAGUGGGUUCACCAGGAUGACCACUUGAUUGAACGGACUGUUGACCCAGCCACAGCGCUGCCAAUCAUGCAGGUGACGAUUGAAAUCACCAGACAGCAGGUGGAGAAGAUCUUUGGUCUCGACGAGUACUGGUGUCAGUGUGUGGCCUGGAGCACUACGGGAACCCAGAAGAGCCAAAAAGCGUAUAUCAGGAUUGCUUACCUGAGAAAGAACUUUGAGGAGGAGCCGCAGGGUAAAGAGGUGGCAUUGGACGAGGAGGUGUUACUGCGCUGCCAUCCCCCAGAGGGAGUGCCACAAGCCGAGGUGGAGUGGCAGAGAAACGAGGAUGUUGUCAACCCAGAGGGCGACCCCAAUUUUUUCAUCACAACUGACCACAAUCUAGUCAUCAAAAAAGCCCGGCUGGCCGACACAGGCAACUACACAUGUGUGGCUAAAAACAUCGUUGCUCGCCGCAAGAGCACCUCGGCCACGGUCCUGGUCUAUGUCAACGGUGGCUGGUCCACGUGGACCACCUGGUCGUCCUGCAGUGCCGUAUGUGGGCGUGGCUGGCAGAAGAGGAGUCGGAGCUGCACCAACCCCACGCCACUGAAUGGAGGCACAUCCUGUGAGGGGCAGAACGUCCAGAAAAGUGCCUGCGUGGCCACCUGUCCAGUGGAUGGAGGCUGGAGCGAGUGGAGCAAGUGGUCAGCGUGCGGCGCAGACUGUUCAAUGUGGAGGAGCAGGGAGUGCACCCAGCCCUCACCUGGCACCGGGGGAAAAGACUGCCAGGGGCUCGACCUCCAGUCCCUCAACUGCACCAGCGAGCAAUGCCCACAGACUGUGAGCGGGGCCGAGGACGUGGCGCUCUACGUUGGCAUGGUGGCGGUGGCCCUGUGUCUGACUCUGCUGCUCAUCGUGGUCGUCCUGGUCUACCGGCGAAAGAAGGAGGGCCUGGACGCAGACGUUGCGGACUCCUCCAUCCUCACCACUGGCUUUCAGCCCAUGGGCAUCAAGCCCAGCAAGCCAGGUGUGUGGGCACCGCGGCCGCGCAGGCCUCCCCCCCACAGCAAGAAUUCCCAUUUGCUCACCAUCCAGCCUGAUCUAACUACCACCACCACCAGUUACCAAGGCACCCUACGCUCUCGCCAUGACGCCACUGGGAAGUUUUCAAUGACCAACGGGCCUCUGCUGGACCCGCUUCCCAACGGCUCACACACACUGCACAACGGCAAGCUUAACUCGGAUCCCGCUGAGUUUGUGAGCAGGCUGUCUACUCAGAGCUACUUUAAAACGCUGCCGCGGGACGUAGCUAACACCUCCUAUGGGACCUUCAACUUCCUGGGAGGGAGGCUGACGAUCCCAAACACAGGAAUCAGUCUGCUCAUUCCUCCCGAGGCCAUCCCCAGAGGAAAGAUCUAUGAGAUUUAUCUCACUGUUCAGAGGAAGGAAGAUUUAAGGUUACCCCUGGCUGGCUGCCAGACCCUGCUCAGCCCUGUGGUGAGUUGUGGCCCUCCAGGGGUGGUCCUGAGCCGGCCAGUUAUCCUCAGCAUGGACCACUGCUCUGAUGCAUGCCUCGACAACUGGGCCAUCCGCCUCAAAAAGCAGAACUAUGAGGGCGCUUGGGAGGACGUCCUGCUGAUGGGGGAGGAGCUUGUGUCGGAGCCCUAUUACUGCCAGCUCGAGGCCGAGACGUGCCGGCUCUUCUCUGAGCAGCUGGGCACCCUUGCCCUGGUGGGAGAGUCCCUGCACAUGGGCGCUGCCAAGCGCCUGAGGCUGGUGCUCUUCUCGGACGCAUACUGCUCCACGCUGGAGUACAACAUCAGGGUGUACUGCAUGGACGACACGCAGGACGUCUUUAAGGAGGUGAUGCAAAUGGAGCGGCAGCUCGGGGGUCGGCUGAUUGACGAGCCCCACGUCCUGCUUUUCAAAGACAGCUACCACAACCUGCGUCUGUCCAUCCAUGACAUGCCCCAGGCGCACUGGAGGAGCAAGCUGCUAGCCGGCUACCAGGAGAUCCCGUUCUACCACAUCUGGAAUGGUUCCCAGCGGUAUCUGCACUGCACGUUCACUCUGGAGCGGCUCAGCCUCAGCACCUGUGAGCUCACCUGCCAGCUGUGCGUGUGGCAGGUGGAGGGGGAGGGACAGAGCUUUGGCCUCGACUUUAACAUUGCCAAGGACACCAGAGCUGUUGACUCCGAGUUCCUGCUAAUGGACACCAACGCCACAGCUCUGGCAGGGCCCAGCGCGUUUCAGAUCCCGUACCUCAUCAGGCAGAAGAUCUGCAGCAGCCUGGACGCCCCCUGUCCCAAUGGAGCCGACUGGAGAAUGCUAGCACAAAGACUUAAACUUGAGAGACACAUGAGUUUCUUUGCAUCCAAAGCGAGCCCGACCUCUGUGAUCCUGGACCUGUGGGAGGCACAGCAUUUCCACAGCGGCAACAUCAACCAGCUGGCCACGGUCAUGGCCGACAUCGGCAAACAGGAAGCCAUGAUAUUCCUGGUCUCUGAUGGCGAGUGCUAACCCAGAAAACGGGGGAAGAGACUGGUGCAGAGGAAAAGUACAGAACACAACAAUAACAACAACAACAACACACACAUUAAAAAGAAGAAAAAAAAACAAUAACUGGAGCAGGAAUCGAAGAGCAGAGCUGCCCCCAAUGUCCCUCUUCUUCACUUCAGAAGAUAGUAAAUGGUUUAUGUUUCCCAUCGAACAGAGUAAAAAUCAGACCAAAUGAGGGAAAAAGGAAGCGUGUUGGGAAAUGUGUCCAUGAACUGAGUAAAGAAAAAUAGCCUUUAUUUUCCUUCAAAGAUUAAAGUUAGUCCACGCCAUGGCUCUACUUUAAGGAUCAAUCCAUGCCUUUUUUAUAAAUAGCCCAUUUAUGGCUAAUAAGGAGCAAUAUGCAAACGUAAUGCUAUGACUAAUGGCCAAUAUUUGAAAUUCAAUGAAUCAUUUUUAAAGUAUCUGCAUCUUAAAUGAAACAGGAUGUGACAGAAGGUAGCCAGUCAUUUCAGGUUCAAGAGAACAGGCGACAUAUGCAAACGGCCGGUUUGUUAUGACAUCAUCUCCGACACUGAGCACACGUUCAACAAGGUCGUCAGGGUCUGCGAGCGUCCGCGAGCGUCCACUCCCAAACCCAGUGACACUCCUCACAUGUCCGUCUCAUAUGUAUCCAUUUCCUACAACACGCGCACACACAUAGACGGCUUGUAGCACAUCCUGGACCUGCAGGUUUUUAAAAUAGAUUGUAUGUCAGAGGCCCAAAGCACCCCGUCUCAUCUUGUUUGUGUGUGUUUUUCUUAGUCCAGCCGGUAUCACUACUGUGAAUGUAACAUCUUGACAUCUUGAUUCAGCGAGACGCUUCGCAGCUUUCCUGCUUCUAAAUCGAUAUAUGUGGGGUUUGGGUUUCUUUGAAGUUUUUCGAGGGAGGAGUGAGUAAUAUCUUCACUAAAAGUCAUAUUACAGAAGCCAUUUCUGUGGAAGGCCUGUGAUUUUGAUUGGUUUAUUUCACGUCUCGCAUUAGCGCGGUCGCUUAACUCGGGGGGGGAAGAGGGGGGGGUUCUGUUUUCCACAGCUAAUGAAGGAGCCAUAGGGGCCGAAAGGCGUUCCAGCUGCACACACGUGAACACUGAAUGUCGUCAACUCUCAUUUCUAAAAUGACAUUUUUCCUCCUUAUUACCUUAAUUCUGUAACAGAGAGGAAGCUGAACAUAAAAGCGUGGCCAAAAGGGUUAUUAUCCUGUAUGAAUAAUGCAGAGCACUUUCCCACAGAAGAUCUGACAACAAAUUCUUUUACUCAUGUUGAAAGAGUAGCUGAGCUGCUUUGUUUUUAUAAUUCAUAAAGCAAUGUUGGUGGGAAUUCUAUAUUUGCUGUACGGCAAACAGUAUUUCCACAUCAGAAGAAACGGCUGUCUCUCAGAGAAAGUUGAAGAGUGGCUUAUACAUAAUGUCACGCCUCUGCUCACAAAAGAUGCUUUGAAAGGUUUUUUUUUUUUUAAUGUUUUUAUUUCUGGCCAGGACGGCAAAAAAUGAUCCAGCAAAUUCAUGCAAACGAAUCACAAACUGCAACUACGCACUUGCUUAUCAUAUUUUGCUACUUUGCAUUAAUUUACACCGUUUUUUGUUUUUUUUAAAUAUUAAUGGAUGUGUCGGGUCAGGCAACAUGAAACACACAGUAUCUUUAAAAGUCCAGUGGUUCAGUAAUUAUUCUUUAGGAAAAAAAAAAAAAAAAAAAAAAAAGUGUGAGCAAUCCCAAACUAGCCAUAGUUCUCUCUCCGUCUGCCUCAGGGUUGCAUGUGAAGUUGUCUGUUAACGUUGCAAAAGAGAGCCCCCCCUUCUUCAUUCAAACAGAGAACACCUUCCCAUCCCGCCGAGCUCCCGUGGCUUCAACCUUUAACACGAACAGGAGCCUUUUUGUAAUGAUUGUCAGAUAUUUGGAAUGUACAUUUAUGUAAAAGUUUGUCUCCCUUUGGUUUCUUUUAAGUCUUAAAAGUGAGUAUGUAUUUGUGAGGCAUCUCGGCACACCUUUUUCAUCCCACGCUUCCCUCUCAACCCAAACGAGUUUAUACAAUCCCCCCCCGACCCCAAUAUAUUUGAUGUGGAGAUGCCAUGAAAUCAAAUUUUACUCCUUGUUUUUUAUUCACUUUAAAGAAAACGGAAUUGAGCCCCUUUCGGACAAAAAAAGGCUAUAACACCUUAAAUAAAUGUUUUCAUGUUGAAGUGGAUCAUCGUCACAUGUAAUAUGUAAAUACUUUUUCUAUACCAGCCGUGUGCUGUCACUUUGCAUACUGUAUAUCAGCAGAAUUGGUAACCAAAGUUUUAUGAUUAUCAUUUUGAGGGCCACUACAUCCUCACAUUGUAUCCAUUCGAUAUUGUUUGAGCGUUGUUUUUACUCGCAGCUAGUAAUAGAAACAAGUCAGAGUUGCUGUCUCUUCUGAAAAACUGCGGACUUCACGUCCAAAUCGUUUCCUUUCUCCCACGUCCUCGCUUUUGUCUUUGAAGCAAGUUUGAUGCUGUCUGUUCAAGCGGUAACAUGUGUCGGUUUAUUUUAUCACUUUGUAAAGAAAUGUAAAUUAUAUUUUAAUAUGAAGCCAAAAAAAGACACUUAACUGGCGCAGCAUUUGUCAAGUCUAAACCGUGACGUGUUUGCCUAUAUACUGUUCUUUGGCGAUCUAGCAGUGACGACUUUUUGCAGUGUUAAGGGUUUAGAGACUGUUUUACAGGAAGUUUCUAUACAUGUUUUGUUUGUCCUUACUCUGCAUACGUCUACCUGAUUAUUUCUCUAACUGGAAGCAUUUAAACACAAGGUGGAAACGGUCACUAUUGCUUAGUGUGUCACCACACUGGGACUGCGUGGAGGCUGAGUGGAGAAAGAGGACAUCAGUUCUUCAAGCCAGUGUUAACGCAGCAUGUUUUCGAUGAGCCAUGGCAGUUGUACAGUCAGACUGUGUGUGAGAAACUCUAUCACCCCCCCCUCCCGCCAUUGUCUCAGAUGUGUUGUCUAAGCACAUUUCAGUAAUGUUAUUCACCAGCCGCCAGGAUGUUGAGCAUCUAUCUUCAUAUCUAACUUGUCCAACAAAUCUAACAAAUCUGCAAUUACUGUCUGUGUGUGUGAUAAAUACAGUUCCCUUCAUGAUGUGAUCUGGGCCCGAUAGUUGUGCAAAAGACGGUCAGUGACAUAAAUGCUUCGUUCAAGGGUUUAUAAGUUUGACCCCCUAGUUAUGGGGGUCAAAGUUGUUCCAUUCACAUCUGUACUUUCUGUGUUGCUCAUUGCUACUCAGUGUCAAGGACAUCAGAGUGUGUGUGUGUGUGUGUGUGUGUGUGUGUGUGUGUGUGUGUGUGUGUGUGUGUGUGUGUGUUUGUGUGAGAGAGUGACUGAAUGAGACUGGGUGUAUGUAUACUUCCCCAUCACUCUGACUGGAUGAUUUUCUUUUUCAAAUAUGAACAAUAGACUUAUGUACUUGUGAACGUUUUUUUUUUUUCCAUUUAGUUCCUUGAUUCAAUGUUCCUUGCCUUUCUGCAAGUCAAAAAUGCUGUAUUUAUUACAUGCCACAGCGCUUAUGCAAUUGUAUAAUCCUUUUUUUGUUCCGUUCGGUUUUUUUUUACCUCUUGUGUUCCUUAUCGUCGAUGUAAAUUGUUGUCAAAACUUUUGUGGCAAUGGAAAAACUUCUGCUAAGGGAGAUUUUCUGUACUUUUUUGGACAAUGAUAUGGAUUUGUGGGUAGAAUUUUGGAAAUUCGUUUCUAAGUGCUUUCAAGUAUUUACUUGGCCUUAUGUAUAUAUAUAUCUAUGACAUUUCAGAAAGGUAUGUAUAGUAAUUCAACCUGAAAUUGUUGUAAAUAAAUUAUAUAUUGUUAAUUGAAGGACUGGAUCUUUUUACUUGAUGAUUACAUUUUGUGGCUCAUCAGUUCAUUUUAUUAAAAAAAAAAAGGGACAUACAUGGAAAAAUAAAUGUCGAGCUUUAAAAAAAUUAAGCUUAAAAGAAUAGUUUUAUAUUUUGGAAAAUACAAUUAUUCACUUUGUUUGGUGGGUUAAAAAGAAGUCGACACAGUUGGCAUAGUAUAAAGACUGGAAGCUAGCGUGUCAAACUGCCUCCCUCCACUACACAGAGAGAGCAACAGUUGCUAAUGUUAGUUUAUGUUAGCAGACUCCAUCUUUAAACUAACAGUCGGCUUCUAGCAUAACACACAGAAAAUUAAAUAACAAUGACACCUUUAAAAACUCACUCAAUAGCUCGUCACAUCUCAUUCAGUAGUUUAAUUUGCAGAUGCAGAGACCUAAAAAUUACAAUUUGUUAUUUAUACUCAUAGUUAAUGAGAGUAACUAUCUCUUCGAUGAACAAGUUUAAAUUCCGCCCAAUACGACCAUGCAGCAUCUCUGUUGGUUGCCUGGCAACCUCACAUCGACAAAAAGCGUCCCAACUCUUUUGGAGUCAGGGUUGCAGCCUUCUCAUACCAGUCAGUAGAUACUCGUAGUCUCAGGAUGAUGACCAUGAGAAUACGGUGCCAACGAGAACAAUUUAACAUCGCUUACAUGAAACGUGCGUAAAAUAACAAGUAAGUUGACGUUCAUGAUUAAAUGGAAAUUGCAAAAGCAUUCAUUUCUACAUCUAGAAGAGGGAUUCAACUACGGUCUUUGUUGCAGCAGCUGUUCGUGAAAAGCUUGAUUUUUAGAAGUAAAUUGUACUUACGAUGAAAUCUUAGAGAGCCCAUUAUCCUGUUGUUGGGGAGCAGGUGUUGGUGAGAACAAAGACAACAAAAACAUCAGUCGAGAGAGAAUCUUACAGAUGGGUUCGCCGCAGAAGCAUUUGAGCCCAGUGAUCCAGCCCGGCACGUUGCAUUACAGAUUAAUUUUAUUUGAAACGUCCAGCAGCUAUAAAAACAGCACUUACAGGCCCAUUCUGAAGCAAUAUAAAUACAUAUUCAACCACGGCUUGAAAGUACUCGAAGGAACAAUCACAACAUCGUAGAAACGCCAGGACAAAAAUCACCACAUGAGAUUUUUCUGACCGAUGAAUGAUAUUUGAAGUGAGAAACAGUUUAAAAAAAAAAAAAAAAAAGAUAAUCGCACUCGGUCGUCCACAUCUGUGACUAUUAAAAUCAAUUAAGAAUUAAUACAUGACAGCAAAUUACAGUUAUUAACUGCAAUGUGUGCCGCUGACGUGCCGGAGUCAAAGUGGCAAGUAAGCGGUUAGUGCUUCAGUUGAGGAGUGCAGGGGUCCGGUCAGGCAGAAAUGGGACACCCCCUUUUCUGCUUGACUGGACCCCCAUUAAGUUAACAGGCACUGCAGUGAGAGUCGCUGAGUGGGCCGGGGUCCCGGGUGGGGCCACUGCUUCUCUACACUUAGUGCAGGAGUGGUGGCAGAUCAUUAAUGCAAUACGUGAGAUUAUUAGAGAGCUAAGUGACUCCUCCAAGUUGGAAGACACUGACUUGAUCUCACUUCAGACUGAACGAGGAGGAGAUUAGUAGAGUGGUGAGAAUUUCUGUCACUGACGGCUACAGUUAGAUCUAGACGAUGAACUGCAGCUGCGGUUUAACUGUCCUAAUCUAUAGAUGACUUAUACGUCAACAAGUUAGUGAUGGCGUGCAAUAAUUCCUUGACUACUUCCAGUUGUACAACACAGCAUUUGGUAUUACAGACAGUAACAUUUGAACACAGUGGAGUAACAGCACAUGAAGCUAAUGCUAAAGGGACAGUGUGCUCUAAAAUCAAAAUAUAUAUUUCAUCUCUCAUCUGUAAGCGCUCUUCAUCCAUCCAGAUUGUUUUGGUGAGAGUUGCAGAGUUUUGGAUAUACUGAUUGAUGGAAUGAGAUAAUCAAGACAGUUUGAUGUAGGAACUAUUUUCUCUCCAUAUCACCACGCCGAAGGAAACGUGCAUCUACUCAAGGUAAAGGUACACGUCCUUCUGCGUGGUGACACGCAAAGAAAAUGGUUCCUGCACGAAACUGCUCACAGCAAUGCUGCAGUCAAUGUAGGGGAGUGACAUGAAUGCCAACCUAAUGCUUCAGCUUCAUAUGGCGUUGACUCAGAAACUCGUGACCCAAAGGUUGUUGAGAGGGCAAUGACAUGCACUCACCCAGUAGGAGAGGCAUUUUUCUGAUCAUUCGUACUGCAAGGUCUGUGGAUUAUCUUGAGUAAACAGGCCCCACAAACCAAGUCGUAUAAGAUU